RNAcentral lists this long non-coding RNA (6546 nucleotides) under Sus scrofa (pig). Its description in RNAcentral is "lncRNA (ENSSSCG00000061346.1)". The record is from RNAcentral. Lineage: Eukaryota; Metazoa; Chordata; Mammalia; Artiodactyla; Suidae.
CUAGCUGAUGCUGCAUGUCCAGCACAUAUUGCUGGCGGUCUCGCUCCAUGGCUUCCCCCAGUCCAGGACCCAGGCUGACAGAUUCUCUAGCAUUUGAGAUGUCUCCAGACUCACACAGCACCAUGAAGAGAACUUGGAAAAUCACAAAAUGGCUCUUAAAUAUUUUUGUCCAUAGCAUCAUCUCGGCUCACCUUUCACGGCCACACGUAAUUUCAGAUGUGCCGAGGGUUCCUCUCCCAUGUGCUCCAAACAGAGUGGGAUUGGAUAUCAAUGAGCACAGUCGUGUUUACCACACCAAUUACAGCUCCCCAGCCUCGACUGCUUUGUGCCUUUAUCCUGGUUUAUGAGAUUCCCUGUCAGCAUCUGGAAUAGGUCGAAGUCUCAUUUCACUUGACCUUGCCUCCAACUCGAUACCAUCUCUCAUAUCAUCUGAAACCUGUGGGAAUGAAGGAAGCUUCUCAACAGUACAAAUGUGCUCCUUCAGACUUCAGGCUUUCUUCAGCAGGAGCCUUUGGUUUUGUGGAGAGGAAGCUUGUUUUUCCUUCCAAGUUCUGUCUCACCCAGCCCCCACCUGGGUCUAAUUGUAAAAUGCAUCUGCAUGUUUUAAAAGCUCAUUAUGUAAAUGUAUCAGAGCCCAUAUCCAUCAACAGAUAAUUAAGAGGCUAUAUACAUAUUUAUGAGUUGGCUUAAUGUUGCCUUAAUGAGGAGGUUUACUGGAAAUACCAAAUCAAGGAGGCAAGAAGAAAAAUGGUCAUACCGAAGAAGAGCACACAUUUUCAGCAGUUCUUGGCAGUCCUGAGAACGAUGGGAACACUCAAAGAGCACCUCAGACUCCCUAUCAGCCAAAAAUGGGAGGGGGAAGCUGGGAAAGAAGGAGAUGACGUCACUCAGCCCUUUUUUGAAAAUGAGGCUGUAUUUUUUUUUCUGCAGAAAACCUAUUCGAUGCGCCAACGUCUCAUGUCUUCACCACCUGUAAAAGCAAGGUCACCGUGGGGACGUGGCCAAAGUCUGACAUGGCAGCCCUCAGCUGAUGCAAAAACAGAAGAGGUGGAGCCACCAUGUCAGCCCACAUGGCUCCUCUGUGAAAUUAGAAAAGACAUCUCCGAGGGGAGAAGGAAAACCCAUGGGAAACCCACAUCUCCCCUUAGCAGACAAAGCCCUGUAGGUACAUGACUUAGUGAGGAGACAGUGCUUUGUGUAGAGACAAAGUGAACUUGCCCCAGAUGGCUGAAGCCUAGUAGUGCCCAUGGCUAGGUGAACGGAGCAUGAGCUAGAAUUCAGCAUUUAUUUACCUUGCCAGCCCUGAGCCUUUGUACAGCACAUAAUCCACCCAAUUGCAGCAGCAGCACCAUCUAGAAAACACCAAAGGAGUGACUCCCAGCAGGAGCUGGCCUGAGUCCAUAGGAAGAGCGGGCCCUUCCCCAUUCUCCUUAACACCUUGGCCCUUCAGUUUACCUAACAGUGGCUCAAUGCCACCUUUGGGCCCUCUCUUUUGCCCCUCUUUUCUCCACCCCCACACAUUCUGUUGGCCAGGAUGUUGUCAUGUGGCUCCACCAGGCUACAGAGGAAGCUUGGAAUUGUAGUCUUGCGGGGUGACCAGGAGGACAAAGAAACUGGAUUUCUUGGCCAGAGGGCAUUGUCUCUGCCACUGUGCACUCACCUGUUCACAUCUGUCCAUACAUUUCCACUAUGACCUUCACACAGAAAGCGCAGACCUCACACUGAGUGAAACUCCGAAGACCAUCAGUGACUGCAACCAGCUCCCCAGCUCAAUCUCGGCGAUGCUGUGUAGUCCUCUUCACCAGGUCCAGAUGUGGUUCGCUGUGAUCUGGUGACCAGUGAACUAGAAGCAAGUUAUCUGUCCACACUGCUCUCCACACAUUGGUGGAGUAGGAACAGGAAAUCAGAACUCCCAUUCAGUAAAGGGAAGAAUGGAAGAAGAGUUCUUGCUCACAGCAAUUCUGCUGUUUCUUGAUUUGAUCUGAUUCUAGUCUCUGGGCAACACAGCCUUGUCUGUCCUCCCACCUGGCACAUCUGAACUAGACAUAGACUAGGAGGGUCCCUUUGGAGGCUCCACAGCUUCAGGACCCUGAUUCCUCCUGGAGUGAGUUUAAAGGCUUUAAGUUGUUUGACAGCUUCACUAGUCAAAGAUUUUUUUUUUCUUUUCUUUUAAAUGCAAGUUUGUGGUUUCUCUGACAAAGGUAGUAGCUCUUCUCUUCUAUUUGUGCGUAGUCAGUGUUAUAUAUCAGGGACCACACUCAUGUCCUUCCCAGACAUAUUUCUCUAACCUGAUUUCGAUCUUUGCUUCCUUGUAUCUCCCAGUCUGCCUGCCUCUCUGCCUCCAUCUCUCUUCUUCCCUCUCCUUGGUGAAUGGCACACCUCACAUCUUCCCACAUUCCCGCCUUCAUUGGGCACUCACAUGGUCCAUUUAACUGCAACAAAGCCUGGAAAAUAAGGUGCCAUUAUGUGUCCAAAAGGAAACAAAAACGGGGUUGGAAUCUAUGUCCGUAUUUCUUCUUCAUGCAGCCUGGGAGUCAGUUAUCCUGAUGGGCGUCCUCUACUCAAAGCACAUAUUUGGAGUGAGGUGAGAAAGAAGAGGGGUAUUGUUUCUCGAAGAAACUAGGAUUCGAAACAAAUAGAUUUCAACCUGGAUAGAGGUUAAAUACUUUGAGGGGCAGACAAACCUAAAAUGAAACCUUGACUUCAACAUUUGUGAGCUCGGUUACAAGAAAGUUACGGGAACUUUCUGGGCCUCAGUUGUCUCUCAGGAAAGUGGAGGUAAUAACUUCCUUCGUAGACUGUUGUAAACGUAUAUAAUGUUUGUCACAGUUCCAUGCAAGAGGAACCCUCAGUCUAUGAUAGUGUACAGGGUACAAGCCUCCGUCUAUGUAUUCAGUUGUGCAAGAAAUUUAACUUUAUUUUCCUAUAUCUGAACUUAACGUCUGUGUUAAAUCCGCCUUUAUCUCUGAUGAUGGAAACGUCAUCUCAGCCAAUUCAUAGCCUCCCCCCGGGUCCUGUAUAAGUUCCAGGGAGCUCAUAUGAUUUCGGGAUGGCCGCGUGAGAGGUUAGGGGUCUGUCUUCCCGUGUUGUUUUUUGUCUGUGGUGGCAUCCACUGUGAUGAUGUUGCAUAUUGUUCAGUCUUCGUUCUGUGUGAGUCAUAGACAUGCCCUCCCCUGUGCCCACCACCAAGGAUCUGAGAUCUGCCAAUGCCAUGUGUCAUGUCUGAGGUACUUGACCGGGCACAGAAAACACUGUAUUGGCCACAUCAUCCUGGGACCCCAGAAACCUCGGUGAGGUUGCCUUGGACCUGUCUGUCUUGAUUCAUUGCAGCAAUACACCUGCUGCUCUCAUACCUUCUUGGCUUAUGGACUUUUACAGGCUUCCCACCACCUGGCAAUGAGGCUCAGGUCUGUUUUGCUCUUGGUUCCCCAAUCUUAUCGGAAGAUUCCGUCAUUCAGCACUGACCAACUCCCUGACUCCCAUGACUCCAUUCGGGAGAAAGGUCCCAGUAGCAUCUAAGAUUGAGCUGCUCAAUACAGUCGCCACACAUGAUCAUUCAAAUUUAAAUUGGGUAAAAUAUGCUAAAUUUGUAAUACUAGCCACAUCUCAAGUGCUCAGCAGCCAUCAGUGACUGGUGGCUACUAUGCUGGAGAGCAUAGUGUUUAUGACAGACCACUGCCAUCAUCCUAGAAAGUUCUGUUGGACAGCAUUGGUCUAUGAUCUCUCCCUUGUAUGCCCCCCCCACCCCGCCCCACCCUCACCUCAGACUCUAUAACUGACCUGGAGUGGAAGCCUUGCUUUCACAUGCCCUUAUAAUCUCGCACUCACCUUGCCGCACAUCUAGGUCUAGGGUUUGAAACUCAGAAGCCGAGAACUGACUCUUUUUUGUUCUUCGUGUUCUGCUGCAUCAUCUCUUCCCUCAGGCACAGAGGAUGAGGUGCCUAUAUUACCAACAGGGUUGUUGAACUGAUCCAGUUUCCUGGAACCUAGAGGAUUCCUGGGACAUGAGACCUUGAGUUUGAAAACCAGGAAAGUCCCAGACAAUCCAAGACAAGGUGGUCACUGUGGUUACAAAGAACAGGUUACCGAGGACUAGGGGAAAAAAUGCCAGUCUUUAUAUCUCAAAGUUAUUUCAAGUCUGUAGCUAAUAUUAAUCUGAUGAGGAUUCCACUCUAACCUCCAAAGUUAGACUUGGGUAUUCCAUUUCUUCUUCUCUUUCUAGACACUUUCCUGAUCCCCUCUCUCCUGCCCCUCUCCCUCCCUAGCCCUGUGACUGGCAUGGAUUUCACUGGUUCCACCUGUAUAUAUUAGACAUACAUCUUCAGAUCCCCUUUCCUCUUGCCCACCUCACUAGGGAAACUGUUUGAGUGUCUGAUAUUUUGCCCUUUUUGGAAAACUAUUGAUCCUGAGGUCGUGGGAAGAGUGAGCCAUGUAAAAGAUUUCUGUAGGGCAAACAGCAAGGGCCAGCUCCAAAGAACCCCUUGGGGCAUUAAAGUAAGGCUUUCAGUGCAUUUGGCCCAUUUCAGACUCACAUAGUGACAGUUUCAAACACAGAAGCUGCUGUAGCUCAGCUGUAAGAAAAGAGACUGCCAGGAACUUCUGUCACUCGCAUGCUGACGGCCUUGUCCCCUUCCAUCCUCUCCCUGACAUUUUCAUGCCCUGGCUUAUUAGUUCGUGUGAACUGUCUAAAAAUACCUUGCUAGCAGCAGCUCAGAGAGCUGAAGAAGGAAAAGGUGUGAUUUGGUAAAACCAUGAAUGUUCUUCUUUCACCAGUUCCUUCCCUCAGCAAGAUGCAGACGUAAGGAGAUACCAGCUUCAGUUGCAUCAGGUGCACAGAUCCAGGAGUAUGAUGUCCUCUGCUCCUGGAAAGUCUCUCCCAGCACCAACCUUAGCCUGUAAGGUCUAGGGCCAGUACAACCUCAUCCAGGAAGCUGCUCAUGACUUGCCCUGCCAAACAGUUCGUCCCAACUACCCAAAUGACAGAAGGUUAGAAAAAUAAAGGCUUAUUAUAUAACUUCAUGCCAGACUUGAAUCAAAAUUUUGAAGAAGGGUAUAGAAAAUAGGUAUUCCAAAUACAUCUUUAAAAAAAAAUAUAUUGGAGUCUAGCUGACUUACAGUGUUGUGAUAGUUCCAGGUGUUCAGCCAAGUGAAUCAAUUAUACCUAUAUCUAUACCAUUCCUUUUCAAACUAUGUUCUCACAGAGGUUGUUACAGAGUACUGAGUUGAGUCCCCUGUGCCAUACAGUAGGUUUUUGUGACUUACCUAUUUUAUAUAUAGUAGUAUGCAUACGUCAAUCCCAACUUCCUAAUUUAUCCCUCCCCCGAACGUUUCCCUUUUGGUAACCCUAAGUGUGGUUUCAAAACUGUUGAGUCUGUUUCUAUUUUGUGAAUAAGUUCUUUUGAAUGAUUUUGAUUAGAUUCCACGUGUUAAUGAUCUCAUGUGAUAUUCGCCUUUCUCCAUCUGACUUAUUUCACUUAGUCUGAUAAUUUCUCAGCCCAUCCAUGUUGCUGCAAAUGACAUUAUUUUAUUCUUUUUAUGGCUGAGUACUAUUCCAUUGCAUGUACGUACCACAUCUUUAUCCAUUCCUCUGUUGGUGGACAUUCAGGUUGUUUCCACAUCUUGGCUAUUGCAAAUUGUGCUGCAGUGAACAUUGAGGUGCGUGUAUCUUUUUUAGUUAGAGUUUUCUCUGGGUAGAUGCCCAGGACUGGGGUUGCUGGAUCAUAUGGUAGUUCUAUAUUUCGUUUUUUAAGGAACCUCCAUAUUGAUCUCCAUAGUGUUCUCUUUACACUGCCACUAAUGGUGUAGCAGGGUCCCCUUUACGCUACACCCUCUCCAGCAUUUAUUGUUUAUAGACUUUUUGAUGAUGGCCAUUCUGACUGGUGUGAGGUGAUAUCUCAUUGUAGUUUUGAUUUGCAUUUCUCUAAUAACUAGUGAUAUUGAGUAUCUUUUCAUGUGCUUCUGGCCAUCUGUCUGUCUUCUUUGGAGAAACGUCUUUUUAGAUCUUCUGACCAUUUUUUUGAUUGGAUUUUUUGCUUAUAUAAAGCUGCAUGAGGAGUUCCUGUCACAGCUCAGCAGUUAGUGAACCCACCUAACAUCCAUGAGGACACAGGUUCAAUCCCUGGCCUCCGUUCAGUGGGCUAAGGAUCCGGUGUUGUCGUGAGCUGUAGUGUAGGUUGCAGACGCAACUCGGAUCCCGUAUUGCUGUGGCUCUGGCAUAGGCUGGCAGCUACAGCUCCGAUUAGAGCCCUAGCCUGGGAACCUUCAUAUGCUACAGGCGCAGCCCUAAAAAAACAAAAGACGGAUUUCCCAUCGUGGCGCAGUGGUUAACGAAUCCGACUAGGAACCAUGAGGUUGCGGGUUUGAUCCCUGGCCUUGCUCAGUGGGUUAAGCAUCCGGCGUUGCCAUGAGCUGUGGUAUAGGUCAAAGAUGCGGCUCGGAUCCCACAUUGCUGUGGCUCUGGCAUAGGCUGGCAGCUAUGGCUCCGAUUUGACCCCUAGCCUGGGAACCUCCAUAUGCUGCAGGAGCGGCCCAAGAAAUGGCAAAAAG